Molecule: long non-coding RNA, 2232 nt
Filed under: Homo sapiens (human)
Lineage: Eukaryota; Metazoa; Chordata; Mammalia; Primates; Hominidae
Description: HSALNT0363514
Source: RNAcentral
AAUGCAGAUAAUUUGUUUAAAAGGCACCAUGCACACUGGGCAGGCUGGCUUCCCCUGGGAACGUCUUCUUUUGCCUGGAUUCCCAGUUGGUUUAAUCGGGCGUAGAACACUUUCUUCAAUCCGGGAUUCAGGCACCCCUGCUCAGCACAAACUCAGUACACCCCGCACUCUGCUGUGGGUUCUUGGCACUAUUAGGAGAAUGUGAGGGGGUGAUUCAGAUCUAUCUCUAGUGGGUGCAUGUCUGCCACUCCCAGGAACGCCCACUUCUGGCAAGUCAGUGUCAGAGAAAGGCCAGCUCGUGGCCCCUCCUGCCUUGAGUCCCAGGACCCGUGAUCAGUCCUACCCGGAGCAGAAUCAGGAGUUUGAAAACCCAAGUGCCAACAAUCUCAUUUUAACCCAUGUAAGCAUAUCCAAUAUUUAUAUAUAGAAUUCAUAACAGAUGUCUGGGCUUCCAUUCCAAUAGCCUAUAUUUUACACUGUUUAUUUACAUGGUUACACCAAACAAGACUCAAUUCAAGGUAACCCAAUCCUUUGCUACUAUACCAAAAUAAGCAACAUUUUCAGUCCAUGCCUUAUAUAUAUUCACCAAGCAUUACACUAGGCCUCCAACUGCUCAUCGGAGCAAGCUGCAGCCUGGACACAAGCUAGAGAUUAAUCAGUCAGGAAUGAUCCUGCGUCCAGUGCCAGCAUGAUGGAAGAGACAGAGAAACAGAAGACAUCAGGGCUCCAGAGUCAAGGAGCCUGCAGCCCUAGAACCAGCUUCUUCGUGGACAAGCUCUGACUCCUUUGGGUGGAGAAUGGUAUUCAGAAACCCAGACCUGGGCUCUGGUGUGCUCACUGCUACUUGGGGUCAUUGCUUCUAGGCCUCUCUGCUGAUGGAGGGAGGAAACUGGAGGACCGAGCUCAGAACGCAUUUUAGAACUGGCAGAAAAGAACAUCUGGGGAAGGAAACACAUUUCAGAAACAAACAUACCUUUGUACCAGCUUUUAUUUUCUUUAAGUGUUGAAAAAAUAAUAAUAAUAAAGACAUGCCAAAUUUAUCAUCGCUCUACAAAAUCCCUUUAUUGAGCAAAACGUGGCAGCUCUACUUUCAAAUGAUCUACUGUUCCUGGAAAAUUGCAGCAACGUGGAUGCCAAGGCCCGAAGGCCGCCAUCAGCAGCCAAACAAAAGAUGCCACCUCGGGCUCCGCGACACUGUACCAUGCCAGGGAACUGGACAGAUUUGGGGAAUGCCACGGUUUGCCUUUAACCCCUUGCCUCCUGGUCUCCUGAUGCAUCUCAGAGGCUAACAUUCUUUGAGGAACUGGCAUUUCUUAGUUGUAAAUAUGCAUGUGGGUUUGGGAGCUGCCUGCAAAGUCCAGUGUUGACGAUCAGCUUUGAUUUCCUUGGAAUCAAGUUUACGUGUCGAGUCUGGAAGUUAAGAAGAAUUUGGAGAAGCUGAGCACUAUGGUGUUGCAGGCCCUGGGUGAACUCUUCCACCAAGCAUUCAUUGUGGACUGACAGCGUGCGAGGGGCUCUGCAGGCAGGUGCACAGGACGAAACACAUUCCGUCCGGGGGAAACCUGCAGGAAAGCUCCCUCUUCUUCCUAAGGUGCCGGGCCUAGCUUCAUGGGUCCCUACCCUCCACGCCUGUCACACUUUCUGAGUCUCAUGUGGGAGCUGCUUCUGGUUCCUGACUUCACUCAGUCCUCAUAGGAGGUGGAACUACUGUCACCCCAUUUUACAGAUGGGGAGACUGGGCACAAGGGGACCAAGAAACCAAUGCAAAGUCACACUUGUGGGAUCAGUGACAGGGGAGAUCAAUUCCCAGGUUCUUUCUGCAAGAGUUAAAUUGUUUUCAUGCUGCCUAAGGGGGGGCAACUGAAAGACCACUGCAUAUCUUUGCCAAAAGGGUCAAGCACAGGAGCCGCAGCCAGUGGGUCAGAUCCGCAGAGGCGCUGGGGUGACCCUCCCCAUACCUGGAGGGAUGCUUGUCCCCUCCUGGCCUUCACUGGGUCCCCUCAUGACCGUGGCCUCCCAGGACCUCAGCACAAUCCCGGUCCUGUGCUCCAGGACAAGCCCUCCGUCCCCGAGACUGUGAGGAAAUGGAACGAAGAGGGGCUCGCUGCAGCCCAGCACCCACACUGCCCCUUCUCAGGGGCAAGAACCGUCCUGGAGGACUUGGCUUUGGAGGGGGAGCCUGGGAGGCCAGUAAGUCAACAAGCCUCUACUGCUCAUGGGUGGGAUCCCACC